RNAcentral lists this transfer RNA (70 nucleotides) under Lactarius lactarius (false trevally). Its description in RNAcentral is "tRNA-Asp". It matches the Rfam family "tRNA". From Rfam's summary of the family: Transfer RNA (tRNA) molecules are approximately 80 nucleotides in length. The record is from RNAcentral. Lineage: Eukaryota; Metazoa; Chordata; Actinopteri; Lactariidae.
AAGAUAUUAGUAAAACUCAUUACAUUGCUUUGUCAAGGCAAAAUCGUAGGUUAGACCCCUGCAUAACUUA